GUGAGUCAUCGAAUCUUUGAACGCACAUUGCGCCCGUUAGUAUUCUGACGGGCAUGCCUGUUCGAGCGUCAUUUCAACCCUCAAGCACACCCCGCUUGGCGUUGGCGGCCUACUGCUCCUCUAAGUGUGCUGUAGCCGCCCAAAUACAUUGGCGGUCCCGCCGUGGCUCCCCUUGCGUAGUAACUCACCUCGCACCGGGUCCAGGCGGCGGCCUGCCGUAAAACCCUUUUUCAUUACAAGGUUGACCUCGGAUCAGGUAGGAAUACCCGCUGAACUUAAGCAUAUCAAUAAGCGGAGGA
This 299-nucleotide unclassified non-coding RNA is filed under the name Hypocreales sp. RNAcentral describes it as "partial contains 5.8S ribosomal RNA, internal transcribed spacer 2, and large subunit ribosomal RNA". The stretch from base 1 to 71 matches the Rfam family "5.8S ribosomal RNA", at positions 84 to 154 of the family's 154-position model. Lineage: Eukaryota; Fungi; Ascomycota; Sordariomycetes; Hypocreales. The record is from RNAcentral.